RNAcentral lists this long non-coding RNA (377 nucleotides) under Lathyrus oleraceus (garden pea). Its description in RNAcentral is "Pisum sativum (pea) long non-coding RNA (PSAT_LNC018879)". The record is from RNAcentral. Lineage: Eukaryota; Viridiplantae; Streptophyta; Magnoliopsida; Fabales; Fabaceae.
AAAAAUCUCCCUCUCUAUUUGUUUCAAAAUCUUCUUUGUGUGAACUAUUUUUGUUCUAAACUUUGACCACUUUGCAAAAAGAUAGAAACAUUGGGCUUAUGCCAUUGCAUUUUUAAACUUCUUUUCUUAAAUCAAACUUGUAAAUAAACUUAAAUAUAUUUGACCUAAACUUUAAAAAAUCCAAAAAGAACUAACUCAUUCAAAUCAUUUUAGGCCUUUGUGCCUUUCAAACUUUAUUUUUGUUAAAAGCAAUGCAUCCACUUUGAAAUUUGUAUCACGAACUACGAGGUUUUGAUCCCUCAUUUCUAUGUUGGUACGUAGGCACAAGACCGAAGGUCUUGUCAAACACAAAAAUGUAAUUAAUGAAUUCUUCUCUC